CUGAUCCAGCAAUGCCGCGUGUGUGAAGAAGGCCUUCGGGUUGUAAAGCACUUUUAUCACGGAGCGAAAUACUGCCGGCUAAUACCCGGCGGGGCUGACGGUACCUGAGGAAUAAGCACCGGCUAACUUCGUGCCAGCAGCCGCGGUAAUACGAAGGGUGCAAGCGUUAAUCGGAAUUACUGGGCGUAAAGCGUGCGUAGGCGGUUCUUUAAGUCUGCUGUGAAAUCCCCGGGCUCAACCUGGGAAUGGCAGUGGAUACUGGAGAGCUAGAGUGUGAUAGAAGAUGGUGGAAUUCCCGGUGUAGCGGUGAAAUGCGUAAAGAUCGGGAGGAACAUCAGUGGCGAAGGCGGCCAUCUGGAUCAACACUGACCCUGAGGCACGAAAGCGUGGGGAGCAAACAGGAUUAGAUACCCUGGUAGUCCACGCCCUAAACGAUGCGAACUGGAUGUUGGUCUCAACUCGGAGAUCAGUGUCGAAGCUAACGCGUUAAGUUCCCCGCCGGGGGAGUACGGUCGCAAGACUGAAACUCAAAGGAAUUGACGGGAGCCCGCACAAGCGGUGGAGUAUGUGGUUUAAUUCAAUGCAACGCGAAGAACCUUACCUGGCCUUGACAUGUCUGGAAUCCUGC
RNAcentral lists this ribosomal RNA (628 nucleotides) under Dyella sp. IBb342. RNAcentral's name for it is "bacterial SSU rRNA". It matches the Rfam family "Bacterial small subunit ribosomal RNA", at positions 383 to 1001 of the family's 1533-position model. Lineage: Bacteria; Pseudomonadati; Pseudomonadota; Gammaproteobacteria; Lysobacterales; Rhodanobacteraceae. The record is from RNAcentral.